Molecule: ribosomal RNA, 484 nt
Filed under: uncultured bacterium
Lineage: Bacteria
Description: partial 16S ribosomal RNA
Rfam family: Bacterial small subunit ribosomal RNA
Source: RNAcentral
AUUGAACGCUGGCGGCAGGUCUAACACAUGCAAGUCGAGCGGAUGAAGGGAGCUUGCUCCUGGAUUCAGCGGCGGACGGGUGAGUAAUGCCUAGGAAUCUGCCUGGUAGUGGGGGAUAACGUCCGGAAACGGGCGCUAAUACCGCAUACGUCCUGAGGGAGAAAGUGGGUGAUCUUCGGACCUCACGCUAUCAGAUGAGCCUAGGUCGGAUUAGCUAGUUGGUGGGGUAAAGGCCUACCAAGGCGACGAUCCGUAACUGGUCUGAGAGGAUGAUCAGUCAGACUGGAACUGAGAAACGGUCCAGACUCCUACGGGAGGCAGCAGUGGGGAAUAUUGGACAAUGGGCGAAAGCCUGAUCCAGCCAUGCCGCGUGUGUGAAGAAGGUCUUCGGAUUGUAAAGCACUUUAAGUUGGGAGGAAGGGCAGUAAGUUAAUACCUUGCUGUUUUGACGUUACCAACAGAAUAAGCACCGGCUAACUUCGUG